RNAcentral lists this non-coding RNA (148 nucleotides) under Pan troglodytes (chimpanzee). The record is from Rfam by way of RNAcentral. Lineage: Eukaryota; Metazoa; Chordata; Mammalia; Primates; Hominidae.
GCCAGGCGUGGUGGCGCACGCCUGUAAUCCCAGCUACUCAGGAGGCUGAGACAGGAGAAUCACUUGAACCCGGGAGGCAGAGGUUGCAGUGAGCCAAGAUCAUGCCACUGCAUUCCAGCCUGGGCGACAGAGUAAGACUUUGUCUCAA